RNAcentral lists this transfer RNA (72 nucleotides) under Candidatus Woesearchaeota archaeon. Its description in RNAcentral is "tRNA-Thr". It matches the Rfam family "tRNA". From Rfam's summary of the family: Transfer RNA (tRNA) molecules are approximately 80 nucleotides in length. Their secondary structure includes four short double-helical elements and three loops (D, anti-codon, and T loops). The record is from RNAcentral. Lineage: Archaea; Nanobdellati; Candidatus Woesearchaeota.
GCCUCCGUAGCUCAGCGGUAGAGCGGCGGUUUUGUAAACCGCAGGUCGGGAGUUCAAAUCUCUCCGGGGGCU